UAUUUAGCGAUGAAAAGGACAUGAAUUGUUUUUACCUUUCUUUUUCAGAGAAAAGGGCCUUUGGCUGAGAGCCUUUAAGAAAGAAAAACAAUUUACCACCUUUGAGCUUUUGCAGGGAAAUAGAUGAUUAGAGUAUCUGCAAACGGAAUAAACCGUUAUCAAAUCUUUGAGCAUAGAGCCGGUUACGCUCUAUGGAACUUAGGGUGGAACCACGACCGCACUCGUCCCUUGU
RNAcentral lists this non-coding RNA (232 nucleotides) under Priestia endophytica. Its description in RNAcentral is "Bacillus endophyticus T-box sequence". It matches the Rfam family "T-box leader". From Rfam's summary of the family: Uncharged tRNA acts as the effector for transcription antitermination of genes in the T-box leader family. T-boxes are found upstream of many aminoacyl-tRNA synthetase genes and some amino acid biosynthetic genes usually in Gram-positive bacteria. The record is from RNAcentral. Lineage: Bacteria; Bacillati; Bacillota; Bacilli; Caryophanales; Bacillaceae.